AGUGAACGCUGGCGGUAGGCCUAACACAUGCAAGUCGAACGGCAGCACAGUAAGAGCUUGCUCUUACGGGUGGCGAGUGGCGGACGGGUGAGGAAUACAUCGGAAUCUACUUUUUCGUGGGGGAUAACGUAGGGAAACUUACGCUAAUACCGCAUACGACCUACGGGUGAAAGCAGGGGAUCUUCGGACCUUUCGCGAUUGAAUGAGCCGAUUUCGGAUUAGCUAGUUGGCGGGGUAAAGGCCCACCAAGGCGACGAUCCGUAGCUGGUCUGAGAGGAUGAUCAGCCACACUGGAACUGAGGCACGGUCCAGACUCCUACGGGAGGCAGCAGUGGGGAAUAUUGGACAAUGGGCGCAAGCCUGAUCCAGCCAUACCGCGUGGGUGAAGAAGGCCUUCGGGUUGUAAAGCCCUUUUGUUGGGAAAGAAAAGCAGCAGGUUAAUACCCCGCUGUUCUGACGGUACCCAAAGAAUAAGCACCGGCUAACUUCGUG
RNAcentral lists this ribosomal RNA (492 nucleotides) under uncultured bacterium. Its description in RNAcentral is "partial 16S ribosomal RNA". It matches the Rfam family "Bacterial small subunit ribosomal RNA", at positions 29 to 507 of the family's 1533-position model. The record is from RNAcentral.